CAGACCGCCGAACGGAUAGAGUUUUUCAUGUACGUCCUAGGCGUCGCAAUCAAUACAAUACAAAGGUUCCAACCAGAAAUAGUACUCAACAUACAGAUUGCAUAAGGAAGUAUCAAAACAUAAACAACUAGCUAUUACAAGCAUUCACAUACAUGCUUAUAUUUUUACAUCACAGUUUUUUUUAAAUUCAACUUCCAAAUUACAAUUUAGUUAUUACAAAUUUAUUACAAGUUUGAUACAUUCUUAUUCUUUCCUUUUUCUAUACCCCUAGA
This 272-nucleotide long non-coding RNA is filed under the name Ananas comosus (pineapple). RNAcentral's name for it is "long non-coding RNA (ACOM_LNC006860)". Lineage: Eukaryota; Viridiplantae; Streptophyta; Magnoliopsida; Poales; Bromeliaceae. The record is from RNAcentral.